This 497-nucleotide ribosomal RNA is filed under the name uncultured bacterium. RNAcentral's name for it is "partial 16S ribosomal RNA". It matches the Rfam family "Bacterial small subunit ribosomal RNA", at positions 28 to 507 of the family's 1533-position model. The record is from RNAcentral.
GAUGAACGCUGGCGGCGUGCCUAAUACAUGCAAGUCGAGCGAACGGACGAGAAGCUUGCUUCUCUGAUGUUAGCGGCGGACGGGUGAGUAACACGUGGAUAACCUACCUAUAAGACUGGGAUAACUUCGGGAAACCGGAGCUAAUACCGGAUAAUAUUUUGAACCGCAUGGUUCAAAAGUGAAAGACGGUCUUGCUGUCACUUAUAGAUGGAUCCGCGCUGCAUUAGCUAGUUGGUAAGGUAACGGCUUACCAAGGCAACGAUGCAUAGCCGACCUGAGAGGGCGAUCGGCCACACUGGAACUGAGACACGGUCCAGACUCCUACGGGAGGCAGCAGUAGGGAAUCUUCCGCAAUGGGCGAAAGCCUGACGGAGCAACGCCGCGUGAGUGAUGAAGGUCUUCGGAUCGUAAAACUCUGUUAUUAGGGAAGAACAUAUGUGCAAGUAACUGUGCACAUCUUGACGGUACCUAAUCAGAAAGCCACGGCUAACUACGUG